GCUGGCGGCGUGCCUAACACAUGCAAGUCGAACGAAGCACCGGAGUUCCUCGGAACAAAGGUGACUGAGUGGCGGACGGGUGAGUAACGCGUGGGUAACCUGCCUCACACAGGGGGAUAACAGCUGGAAACGGCUGCUAAUACCGCAUAAGCGCACAGUACCGCAUGGUACGGUGCGAAAAGUUUUUCGGUGUGAGAUGGACCCGCGUCUGAUUAGCUAGUUGGCGGGGUAACGGCCCACCAAGGCGACGAUCAGUAGCCGGCCUGAGAGGGUGGACGGCCACAUUGGGACUGAGACACGGCCCAAACUCCUACGGGAGGCAGCAGUGGGGAAUAUUGCACAAUGGGGGAAACCCUGAUGCAGCGACGCCGCGUGAACGAUGAAGUAUUUCGGUAUGUAAAGUUCUAUCAGCAGGGAAGAAAAUGACGGUACCUGACUAAGAAGCACCGGCUAAAUACGUGCCAGCAGCCGCGGCAAUACGUAUGGUGCAAGCGUUAUCCGGAUUUACUGGGUGUAAAGGGUGCGUAGGCGGCAUGGCAAGUCAGAAGUGAAAGCCCGGGGCUCAACCCCGGUAGUGCUUUUGAAACUGCUGAGCUGGAGUACAGGAGAGGUAAGCGGAAUUCCUAGUGUAGCGGUGAAAUGCGUAGAUAUUAGGAGGAACACCAGUGGCGAAGGCGGCUUACUGGACUGUAACUGACGCUGAGGCACGAAAGCGUGGGGAGCAAACAGGAUUAGAUACCCUGGUAGUCC
RNAcentral lists this ribosomal RNA (750 nucleotides) under uncultured bacterium. RNAcentral's name for it is "bacterial SSU rRNA". It matches the Rfam family "Bacterial small subunit ribosomal RNA", at positions 35 to 796 of the family's 1533-position model. The record is from RNAcentral.